This 465-nucleotide ribosomal RNA is filed under the name Vreelandella stevensii. Its description in RNAcentral is "partial 16S ribosomal RNA". It matches the Rfam family "Bacterial small subunit ribosomal RNA", at positions 338 to 795 of the family's 1533-position model. Lineage: Bacteria; Pseudomonadati; Pseudomonadota; Gammaproteobacteria; Oceanospirillales; Halomonadaceae. The record is from RNAcentral.
CCUACGGGUGGCAGCAGUGGGGAAUAUUGGACAAUGGGCGAAAGCCUGAUCCAGCCAUGCCGCGUGUGUGAAGAAGGCCUUCGGGUUGUAAAGCACUUUCAGUGGGGAAGAAAGCCUUGGGGCUAAUACCCUCGAGGAAGGACAUCACCCACAGAAGAAGCACCGGCUAACUCCGUGCCAGCAGCCGCGGUAAUACGGAGGGUGCGAGCGUUAAUCGGAAUUACUGGGCGUAAAGCGCGCGUAGGUGGUCUGAUAAGCCGGUUGUGAAAGCCCCGGGCUCAACCUGGGAACGGCAUCCGGAACUGUCAGGCUAGAGUGCAGGAGAGGAAGGUAGAAUUCCCGGUGUAGCGGUGAAAUGCGUAGAGAUCGGGAGGAAUACCAGUGGCGAAGGCGGCCUUCUGGACUGACACUGACGCUGAGGUGCGAAAGCGUGGGUAGCAAACAGGAUUAGAUACCCGAGUAGUC